This is a long non-coding RNA of Oncorhynchus tshawytscha (Chinook salmon), 645 nucleotides long. The record is from Ensembl. NCBI's taxonomy places the organism in Eukaryota, Metazoa, Chordata, Actinopteri, Salmoniformes, Salmonidae.
CUGGUGGGUUUGGUUUACAGGGUCCUGGUGGGUUUAGUUUACAGGGUCCUGGUGGGUUUAGUUUACAGGGUCCUGGUGGGUUUAGUUCACAGGGUCCUCGUGGGUUUAGUUUACAGGGUCCUCGUGGGUUUAGUUGACAGGGUCCUCGUCCUCCUUCAGAUGAAGGCACACCCCAGUCCUAAUUCACUCCCUGUAAAUUCCCCUCUGCCCUUAACCCAAUCUUAAUCCCAUCUUCGCAGCUCUGAAGAACCUGGAUAAAUAUUAGCAGGGAAGUGAUGGAGCUUACACCAUAUUGCUUCUACCUUACAGAUCAGUGGUAAGGGGUUAGGGGUAAGGGGUUAGAGGUUAGGGGCUAGAGGUUAGGGGCUAGAGGUUAGGGGUAAGGGGCUAGAGGUUAGGGGUAAGGGCUAGAGGUUAGGGGUUAGAGGUAAGGGUAGGGGUUAGGGGUAAGGGGCUAGAGGUUAGGGGUUAGGGUAGGGGUUAGGGGUAAGGGGCUAGAGGUUAGGGGUUAGGGUAGGGGUUAGGGUAGGGUUUAGGGGUUAGGGUAGGGGUUAGGGGUAAGGGGCUAGAGGUUAGUGGUUAGGGGUAAGGGGCUAGAGAUUAGGGGUUAGGGCAGGUUAGGGGUAAGGGGUUAGGGGUAAGGGG